AGAGUUUGAUCCUGGCUCAGAUUGAACGCUGGCGGCAUGCUUUACACAUGCAAGUCGAACGGCAGCACGGGGGCAACCCUGGUGGCGAGUGGCAAACGGGUGAGUAAUAUAUCGGAACAUAUCCGGAAGUGGGGGAUAACGUACCGAAAGGUACGCUAAUACCGCAUAUGCCCUGAGGGGGAAAGGGGGGGAUCGCAAGACCUCUCGCUUUCGGAGUGGCCGAUAUCGGAUUAGCUAGUUGGUGAGGUAAAGGCUCACCAAGGCGACGAUCCGUAGCUGGUCUGAGAGGACGACCAGCCACACUGGAACUGAGACACGGUCCAGACUCCUACGGGAGGCAGCAGUGGGGAAUUUUGGACAAUGGGCGAAAGCCUGAUCCAGCCAUGCCGCGUGAGUGAAGAAGGCCUUCGGG
This 412-nucleotide ribosomal RNA is filed under the name uncultured bacterium. RNAcentral describes it as "bacterial SSU rRNA". It matches the Rfam family "Bacterial small subunit ribosomal RNA", at positions 8 to 422 of the family's 1533-position model. The record is from RNAcentral.